UACGGAGGGUGCAAGCGUUAUCCGGAUUUACUGGGUUUAAAGGGUGCGUAGGCGGGCUUUUAAGUCAGCGGUGAAAGCUUCGAGCUUAACUCGGAAAUUGCCGUUGAUACUAUUAGUCUUGAAUUAAGUUGAGGUGGGCGGAAUGUGUCAUGUAGCGGUGAAAUGCUUAGAUAUGACACAGAACACCGAUUGCGAAGGCAGCUCGCUAAACUUAUAUUGACGCUGAGGCACGAAAGCGUGGGGAUCAAACAGG
This 253-nucleotide ribosomal RNA is filed under the name uncultured bacterium. RNAcentral describes it as "partial 16S ribosomal RNA". It matches the Rfam family "Bacterial small subunit ribosomal RNA", at positions 524 to 776 of the family's 1533-position model. The record is from RNAcentral.